RNAcentral lists this ribosomal RNA (264 nucleotides) under uncultured bacterium. RNAcentral describes it as "partial 16S ribosomal RNA". It matches the Rfam family "Bacterial small subunit ribosomal RNA", at positions 793 to 1055 of the family's 1533-position model. The record is from RNAcentral.
GUCCACGCCCUAAACGAUGCGAACUGGAUGUUGGGUGCAACUAGGCACUCAGUAUCGAAGCUAACGCGUUAAGUUCGCCGCCUGGGGAGUACGGUCGCAAGACUGAAACUCAAAGGAAUUGACGGGGGCCCGCACAAGCGGUGGAGUAUGUGGUUUAAUUCUAUGCAACGCGAAGAACCUUACCUGGCCUUGACAUCCACGGAACUUUCCAGAGAUGGAUUGGUGCCUUCGGGAACCGUGAGACAGGUGCUGCAUGGCUGUCGU